This 1030-nucleotide ribosomal RNA is filed under the name Alcaligenes faecalis. RNAcentral's name for it is "bacterial SSU rRNA". It matches the Rfam family "Bacterial small subunit ribosomal RNA", at positions 35 to 1053 of the family's 1533-position model. The record is from RNAcentral. Lineage: Bacteria; Pseudomonadati; Pseudomonadota; Betaproteobacteria; Burkholderiales; Alcaligenaceae.
GGCCUUGCGGCAGCUUACCAUGCAGUCGAACGGCAGCAGCGAGAGAGCUUGCUCUCUUGGCGGCGAGUGGCGGACGGGUGAGUAAUAUAUCGGAACGUGCCCAGUAGCGGGGGAUAACUACUCGAAAGAGUGGCUAAUACCGCAUACGCCCUACGGGGGAAAGGGGGGGAUCGCAAGACCUCUCGCUAUUGGAUCGGCCGAUAUCGGAUUAGCUAGUUGGUGGGGUAAAGGCUCACCAAGGCAACGAUCCGUAGCUGGUUUGAGAGGACGACCAGCCACACUGGGACUGAGACACGGCCCAGACUCCUACGGGAGGCAGCAGUGGGGAAUUUUGGACAAUGGGGGAAACCCUGAUCCAGCCAUCCCGCGUGUAUGAUGAAGGCCUUCGGGUUGUAAAGUACUUUUGGCAGAGAAGAAAAGGUAUCCCCUAAUACGGGAUACUGCUGACGGUAUCUGCAGAAUAAGCACCGGCUAACUACGUGCCAGCAGCCGCGGUAAUACGUAGGGUGCAAGCGUUAAUCGGAAUUACUGGGCGUAAAGCGCGUGUAGGCGGUUCGGAAAGAAAGAUGUGAAAUCCCAGGGCUCAACCUUGGAACUGCAUUUUUAACUGCCGAGCUAGAGUAUGUCAGAGGGGGGUAGAAUUCCACGUGUAGCAGUGAUAUGCGUAGAUAUGUGGAGGAAUACCGAUGGCGAAGGCAGCCCCCUGGGAUAAUACUGACGCUCAGACACGAAAGCGUGGGGAGCAAACAGGAUUAUAUACCCUGGUAGUCCACGCCCUAAACGAUGUCUACUAGCUGGUGGGGCCGUUAGGGCCGUAGUAUCGCAGCUAUACGCGUGAAGUGAACCGCCUGGGGGAAGUACGGUCGCAAGAGUUAAAACUCAAAGGAAUUGAGCGGGGAGCCGCACAAGCGGGGGAUGAUUGGGAUUAAUUCGAUGCAACGCGAAAAACUUACCUACCUUGACAUCGUCCUGGAAGCCGAAUAAAAUUGGCUGGCUCCUCAGAAACGGAAACAGGGGCUGCUGGCUGGUC